RNAcentral lists this long non-coding RNA (1459 nucleotides) under Olea europaea subsp. europaea. Lineage: Eukaryota; Viridiplantae; Streptophyta; Magnoliopsida; Lamiales; Oleaceae. The record is from RNAcentral.
UUACAAAUUUUUCAAAAAAAAAAACAGUAAAAAGUCUGUCUAUCAUACAAUAAUUUCUGAUCUUUUUGAAAGUUUGCCAAGUGUCUCUUUUCCAGCUAAGUCUUUCUUUGUAUGAUCAGAUCUUUCUUGAAUCCUUAUCUUGUCUCAUAAUUGUGUCGGUCAAUGCUGUUUAAAGAUGCUCCUCCAUCAGUAUAGUUUUCAGGUUAGUAUUUAAAGGAUUAUAAGAAGGUUAUAAGGCGGUUAUAAAUCAAAUUAUAAAAAUCCUACUCAGUACUCUUCUUAAUUGAAAUAUCUUUUGAUAAGAUAAUAUCCUUUUUUUUUUUUCACUUUCAAAACUUUUCUUUGAAAUGAUUAAAGUAUGCCAUGUGAGAUAUAUGAACUUGGGCCUAACUCCAUUCUUGCAAGGACACCACUGGCACUCCCUUAACAAAAAUUCUUAAAACAGUGAUCCUUUUCCCCUUUCUAUGCGUUUCAUUAGCCUUUCCACUAGGCCUUUACGCUUUGAAGGGUCACUCAGGGCUUAUUUUCAAAAUAGUUUAAACUUUAACUUGGAGUUAAGAUAUGCUCUUAUCAUAUACUCAGCAUGAAACAUAAAACUUUACAAAGGAUUUACAGAAACAAAAAUCUCAUAAAUAACAUUUGUUCUUUAAAGAUCUGGGACUAAUAUUGAUUAUUAAUACUAUAUCUUAGAACAAUAAAACAUACCUACCGGAAUGAUCCAUCAGUAGUUUAAAAAUAUAAAUAUUUUUUAUAGGAUAUUAUCAUAUCUAAGAAUAAAAACAAUUAAGAAUUUCCUUUUCGGGGAAGAGAGAAAAUUAGAACAUGUUUCAAAGAAACAAAGAACUUUUAUUAUUUUUCUCUAUUCUGUGUGUUUACAAAUGAAAGAAUGAAAGAAAAAGGAAGAAAACGCGUUUUUCAAAAGCAAGGAAUCUUUGCUUUUUCAAAAACGUCAAAAAGAAAACAGUAAAAAGUUUUAUUAUCAAAUCUUACUUUAUAAAACAGUAAGAUCCGUUACAAAUUUUUCAAAAAGAAAACAGUAAAAAGUCUGUCUAUCAUACAAUAAUUUCUUAUCUUUUUGAAAGUUUGCCAAGUGUCUCUUUUCCAGCUAAGUCUUUCUUUGUAUGAUCAAAUCUUUCUUGAAUCCUUAUCUUGUCUCAUAAUUGUGUCGGCCAAUGCUGUCUAAAGAUGCUCCUCCAUCAGUAAAGUCUUCUGAAUUAUUGUCCUCUUCUGUAUUAUUAUCCUCAUAGUCUUCUUUAAUAUCAAUUUUCUUUUUGCCUUUGUUUUUCUUCUUUAUCUGCAACUUCUUUUUCUUUGAGGUCUUUUGUUUAACUUGUUGCUGUAAUUCUUCUAUUUUAUCAAACAUUUCUUUCAAUCUUUUUAUAUCUGAUUGAGUAAUUUGCUCUGGAUCUUGUGAUGAUUGAAAUGAUUCUGAUAUAAGAUUAACUGGGCUUUUCUGUUU